This 655-nucleotide long non-coding RNA is filed under the name Marmota monax (woodchuck). Lineage: Eukaryota; Metazoa; Chordata; Mammalia; Rodentia; Sciuridae. The record is from RNAcentral.
GAAGAUUUAAACACUAUGCAAUCACUAUGUGUUUCUAAGGAUGGUAGUGUUGGUAGUGGAGAGGCAGAGAGUGGUAAAAAUAUAAGAUCUGGCAAAUCUCAGUGUUAAAAAGUGUGAGACCCAUUAUGUGAAUACUUGCUAAGGAACCAUUCCAAGGUCCUGUAAAUCCCUCUCCUUUCUUUUUUAUGCUUUCUGCUCUAUGACUGAGCUUUAAGCAGCUCAGGAUCCCACACCUCCCUUCCCAUCCAAGCAUGCACAGGGGCAUUCAUUAGAUGACAGGAGCAGAAAUGGCUCCAGCAAUCAACUUCAGAUCUUUUCUUUAAGGGGUUUGACAAGGUGACUACCCAAGUGCACUGCAGAAUUGAAAAUGUGACUGUGCUGAAUAUGGAAGUCCAGGUGAAGGAGUGAGGAGGCAAAGAGCUCUUCCCUUCUGCCAGCUGUGGGGUGAGGAACACAAGGUCCAGCCUGCACACACUGUCCAAUGCUGUCUUUGGAAAAGCACACAGAGAGGCCCACAUAGAAAUCUCUCUGAACUGUCCUUGGUGUCAUGAACACCAUGAGACUGUGCAAAAUUCCUGUGUUGAAUGGAAAUGACUCCUGCCCUAUCACUGGUUCCCCAUUUUCUUCCUAAAAUAUCCAUGAAGAUGAGCUAAAC